GAUGAAUGCUGGCGGCGUGCCUAACACAUGCAAGUCGAGCGGCAGCGCGGAGAGUUUACUCUCUGGCGGCGAGCGGCGGACGGCUGAGUAACGCGUGGGAACGUGCCCCAAAGUGAGGAAUAACUGCCCGAAAGGGUGGCUAAUGCCGCAUAUGAUCUUCGGAUUAAAGGAUUUAUCCGCUUUGGGAGCGGCCCGCGUCGGAUUAGGUUGUUGGUGAGGUAAUGGCUCACCAAGCCGACGAUCCGUAGCUGGUCUGAGAGGAUGAUCAGCCAGACUGGGACUGAGACACGGCCCAGACUGCUACGGGAGGCAGCAGUGAGGAAUCUUACACAAUGGGCGAAAGCCUGAUGGAGCAACGCCGCGUGCAGGAUGAAGGCCUUCGGGUUGUAAACUGCUUUUAUAAGUGAAGAAUAUGACGGUAACUUAUGAAUAAGCACCGGCUAACUACGUGCCAGCCGCCGCGGUAA
Molecule: ribosomal RNA, 467 nt
Filed under: uncultured bacterium
Lineage: Bacteria
Description: partial 16S ribosomal RNA
Rfam family: Bacterial small subunit ribosomal RNA
Source: RNAcentral